GAUGAACGCUGGCGGCGUGCCUAAUACAUGCAAGUCGAGCGAACGGACGAGAAGCUUGCUUUUCUGAUGUUAGCGGCGGACGGGUGAGUAACACGUGGAUAACCUACCUAUAAGACUGGGAUAACUUCGGGAAACCGGAGCUAAUACCGGAUAAUAUUUUGAACCGCAUGGUUCAAUAGUGAAAGACGGUCUUGCUGUCACUACUCGAGGGUUCCGAGCUGGUUUGGCUGGUUGUUAAGUUACCGGCUUAGCAAGGCAAGUAUGGAUAUCCCAAUGAAGGGGGUGAUCGGCCACACUAGAACUGAGCCACGGUCCAGACUACUACGAGAGGGAGCAGUAGGCAAUCGGCCGCAAUGGGCGAGAGCCUGACGGAGCAACGCCACGUGAGUUAUGAAGGUCUUCGGAUCGUAAAACUCUGUUAUUAGGGAAGAACAUAUGUGUAAGUAACUGUGCAGAUCUUGACGGUAACUGAUCAGAAAGCCACGGCUAACUACGUG
This 497-nucleotide ribosomal RNA is filed under the name uncultured bacterium. RNAcentral's name for it is "partial 16S ribosomal RNA". It matches the Rfam family "Bacterial small subunit ribosomal RNA", at positions 28 to 507 of the family's 1533-position model. The record is from RNAcentral.